AUUGAACGCUGGCGGAAUGCUUUACACAUGCAAGUCGAACGGUAACAGGUCUUCGGAUGCUGACGAGUGGCGAACGGGUGAGUAAUAUAUCGGAACGUGCCCAGUCGUGGGGGAUAACGUAGCGAAAGUUACGCUAAUACCGCAUACGAUCUAAGGAUGAAAGCGGGGGAUCGCAAGACCUCGCGCGAUUGGAGCGGCCGAUAUCAGAUUAGGUAGUUGGUGGGGUAAAGGCUCACCAAGCCAACGAUCUGUAGCUGGUCUGAGAGGACGACCAGCCACACUGGGACUGAGACACGGCCCAGACUCCUACGGGAGGCAGCAGUGGGGAAUUUUGGACAAUGGGCGAAAGCCUGAUCCAGCCAUGCCGCGUGCAGGAUGAAGGCCUCGGUUGUAACUGCUUUGUACGGAACGAAAGACUCUGGUUAAUACCUGGGGUCCAUGACGGUACCGUAAGAAUAAGCACCGGCUAACUACGUG
Molecule: ribosomal RNA, 477 nt
Filed under: uncultured bacterium
Lineage: Bacteria
Description: bacterial SSU rRNA
Rfam family: Bacterial small subunit ribosomal RNA
Source: RNAcentral